GAUAGCCGUAGAUGGUGAAUGGGUUGAGGGUGGGAUUAGUGACUACUCGAACAGCGUGAAUUGUUGAAUCGUAAAGCCCGCCCCAAAACAUAGCUUUCGCGACAAGCAAUAAGGCACCUACUCCUAAGAAAAGGAGGUGAUGUCCUAAGAUAAAGCUAAGUUUUUUUGGCUCGUCCCA
Molecule: antisense RNA, 178 nt
Filed under: Scytonema hofmannii PCC 7110
Lineage: Bacteria; Bacillati; Cyanobacteriota; Cyanophyceae; Nostocales; Scytonemataceae
Description: Scytonema hofmanni PCC 7110 Antisense RNA which regulates isiA expression
Rfam family: Antisense RNA which regulates isiA expression
Source: Rfam by way of RNAcentral